RNAcentral lists this long non-coding RNA (5022 nucleotides) under Scophthalmus maximus (turbot). RNAcentral describes it as "lncRNA (ENSSMAG00000023141.1)". The record is from RNAcentral. Lineage: Eukaryota; Metazoa; Chordata; Actinopteri; Pleuronectiformes; Scophthalmidae.
UUUUUUUUUUCACUCACUAAUCGCCACUUAAGACACCGAGUUCUUGUUGCCAGGACAACGCGGCUCGCCAUUGGCCCGCCGCCCUCCCACGUGACGCGCAGCCUUGACGUCACGGCGGGCGAGAGGCUCGCUGGCCGCGCCGAGCGCAGUGUGUUGCAGCUGCCCGGGCGAAAAAACGCCUGUUGGAGUUUGGACCGCGAGCGAGCCGGCGAACUCCUGCAAACCUGUCGUGCCCCCGCUCCUCUUGUCCGACACGUUUCACAGUUCGCCCCGGCGCCGCGAGCGAAUGGACCACUGCAGAGACCUUUAGUCAACAGGCCCCUCCGCAGCAAAAACUUCACAGCGAGCAACGAGCGAGAGGAGGAAGAGGAAGGGGAGUCCGGAGGCAGGGCAACUCGUUUCAGUAAGCACACAUCGCUCGGUCAGUCAGUCAGUCAGCGGAUGAUUAAAGCAGUGGGGGAGAGGAGGCGGACUCACUGGGCUGCUGCUGGUGCAUCGCCUUGACAAGUGAGUGGAGAUGCUUGUCUUCCUGUGAACGGACGUCUAGUCUUCUUACAGUAACAGUAACAGUAACAGCACAGUGUUCGUGCUUUCCUAGAGUUUUACCAGAAUUUCCCUGCUUGGGAUGAAUAAAGUAUUCGUCCAUCUAUCUAUAUAUCUAUCUAUUUUCAUCCUUCAAGAGCGUAUACAUGUCAAAAGAUGGCUCCUUUCAAACAUUUAGAAACAUUGCACUUUGGGAUGAAAGUUAUAGUACAGUAGUACGAGUCAGGAGCACAUUAGAUCCGCGCUGCGACGAUUGGUCGAUUUGUGGGGGGGGAAGUCAGAAAAUUAAUACACAAUCAUUUAAAAAGAACGUGUCAAACAUUUGUGGGUUUCCAGCUUCUCAGUUUAGAGGAUUUGCUUUUUUUAUACUAAUCAAUAUUUACAUUGUAGGUUAAACUGACCUAUUUUUUUUUCAACAGUGAAUUGUUUAUAGUAUUUCCGAAAAAUUGUAAUCGUUAAUUGCAAUUCCUGUGCAAUUCAAGGCGAGAUCCUCAUCCACAGAACACGAGUAACAGGAUAUAUUUGGUGAAACAUUUGACAUUUUAAACAUGUUUUUUUUAAAAUUGAAAUUGUACUAUGUUGACUAUAUUAGGAAAUCCUACUGUACAUUAAAUGGCUUAAACGUUUCACCAUGUUGGUUUCAGGUUUCCCGCAGACACGCAGCUAAAGUAGGACUGAGGAUUAAAGAGGCUGAAGGAGAGAUUGUGGCCUGUUGAAUUAAGAGACCUGACUUGUUGUCCCUGUGCAAAUUUGCCAUGUUUUUGGCCUGGUGGCUUGUGGGUAAUUGAAUGCCGUUGUUGGUGGGGUUUGAUGUGGGACGUAAACAGGAACAUGUCAUGGUUGAAUUUCCUCUGGCGGUCCCGGUGAAGUGUUCAAGAGGUGAUGAGAGAGAGAGGGCGAUGGUGUAAAAAGACAUGAGUGGACACAGAUGGAGAGAAGUAAACGUUCCAAUUGAAAAGAGAAGCUGAGGCCUAGAUGAAAAAACGCUAAUGCGGGAAGGAGAGGAAAGAAGUCAACUCACACAGAGUUACAUAUACUCUGAAAAAACAUUGUUUUGCUCUCUUAGAAUCUCUGUGGCUUCCAAAUGUUUGAUGUUUUUAGGAAAUUUAUGAAAUUCAACGCGCUGUCCAGCUUCGCCUCUCACCUCAGGCAGCCACAACAGCAUGGCAAGAAAAAUUUAAAGACCCGUGUAGGUGCUGACACGUGGAUGGAGUCGAGAUUAUAGCCCCCGUGGUGUCAAAACCAUGCUGAAUGCUUACAAAUGUUCUCUAAAUUUGAACAGAUGAUCUAUUUUUGACGGCGUGGGUGUCUUUGUGGGCUCCCUCUCUGCCAGACUUGACCACGCUGGCAGCAUCGUCUGUACUUAGGCUCGUCUGGGCUGCAGUCGAUGCUCUUUCGAAUUGAAAUAGACUCCUCUGAGAGGGAGCAGCCAGGGACGAAAGUGAUUUGGAGGAAACAAGAACGAUAGGAAGAUUCACGUAAAAGGAAGAAAAGAGCGAGAGGGAGCUUCAAAGACUGAGACAGAAGAAAAAAACAAAACAGAUUCUGGCCUGUCACACAGAUAAUAUUUUGGAGAGAGAGAGAGACAGACACAUUUCUGGCGUGCUGUGCAGCAGAUAUCUCUGGUUGAGAGGGUGGGAGUUGUUCAGUCAUGGGGCAGAUUGACAUUUCCAUCUCUGCAGCAUUUGUCUUUACAACGGGCUGCUUGAGAGAAAGGCACAUUUAGAUAUUCGGUGUAAAGCAAACAGCUCUCUGCCUGUGCAAUCAGUGACAAUUUGCUGCGAGUGUGUGUGUGUGUGUGUGUUUGUCCAAUCCUGAGUGUGUCUCGCACUGCCUUCUUGUAGUUGAUGUCAGUGAGACUUUUAUUUUUUUAUUUUUUGGGACACUUUUUUUAUUAUCUUGUUCUCAUUCGCCGCCUCAUCAUGCCCUCUUUCAUGUUUGUGGUUUCCUGCAGUGCCUCGACACACAACCUUCUCCGGCUGACAAUGCAGCUCAUGUGUGCUGCAUUAUGAUUAAGUUGCUGUCUCAGUUCUUUCAAAGACCUGAUUGGAUUUUUAGUAACAUUGAAAGAAAGCAAGAACAAAUUUAAGACAGUAUCAAUAAUAAUAGCAUUAUUUAAAAAAAUAUAUAUAUUUGAGUCCACAAUUUUUGCAGCAAAACUGUAAAAGAGUGACAUGGCUUUUGGCCUCAGUUUGAUGGAUUUGGGCUGUGACUAAUAAUUAUUUUAUUUAUGACUUUAACCUCCUAACUAUUUCUCUUGAAUAAUCCUUUUGUCAACUUUAAUAUAAUUCCUUUAUAUUAUCACGUAAAGCCUCAAGUUUAAGAUUCUACAACCAAAUAAAGUUUGACAUUGUUGUAUUAAAGGGUUUUGAUUGUUUUCUUAUGUCAAAUCCAACAUGCUAACGGUAACUUAGCCGAGAACGGUGGUGGUGGUGAGGCUGCUCUCAGGGCGCAGAGAGAGAGGUAGGCUGAUGAUUCACAUUUGCUCCUCAUUUGAGAUUCAACAUAAUUAAUGUUGUCCUUCACGGAAAGCAGAGUUCCUGAAUUAUGUGUGAAUACAUUUCGCUGUUAAGGUGUUACUGAUCCUGCCGUAGCCUUCCACCCAAAACCGGAUCCCAGGCCGUCUUCUCCUUUGUCGUGCGAGUGGAAGAUCUUCCUCAUUCUCUCUGAAGAAUGAGCUUGGGCGAACCAAUUAAAACUUUCCAUCGAUCAAGUGGCGAGACUGUCACAAAUUUGCAUCGCUGCCAGGACGAAUAGUUUUGAUGCAAAAUAUUCACAGGCGAGUGUUUUGCAUUCUCCUGUCAUUUUUAGAGACAUAAAAAUAAAUAAUACUCAAACUGGACUGAUUAUCCAAAUAGUUUCCAAUUUUUUGCAGAUCGACUUAUCAAUUAGUCACAGAAAUAUUUUAGCUCUAAACGGGAUGAUGAUUGUGUCACAAGGUCGUCUGCAUCAGACAAACCCACAGUCUAUGGUGUUUUAGUGUUUAAGACGAGGCAGAGACUUAUAAGUGUCUUUGAUGUUAAGAGAUCGAAUUUGGUUUGUUGGAGGUAAUGUUAACUCUUUUCAUUUAUUCAAUUGGACUUAUAUAUAAGAGCAACGUUGCCCUUUUUGUUUUACAAUCAUUGCCUUUUUCUUGCUUUGAGAAGCCUGGACCAGGGUGGACCAUGCUCUGACCCUCACACUAAAUAAAACAGCAGAUAGAGUUGCAGUCAGAUAUUCAAGGCGCCGCCAAAGCACGCCGCGCUGAACAGCACGCCGCGCUGAGCAGCACCGAUCAUGAUACUUGUAACGCGAGAGCGGCUGCUCCUAGCUAUGCCAUGCUGUGGCAGCGGUCACAUGUUUUGCCGAGAAAGACACGCGAUCACAAAAGGGCUGUAGCCAGAAGACGGACAGGAGCAUGUGGUGUGACUAGACGAUGAUGAAAUCUGCGGGUCAUUAGUUCUCGGAAAUCGGAGCCAAAAUGGCACAGAUGGAAAGUUUCUCUUUGCAGAGACAUUGCCAAAACUCAGACACUUUAAAGAAAUGUAACAAUUUAUUUUGUCUUUGUGUUAGCACUGUCACAUUUGAACAGAUUUGAAUGUUGUACACAUUGUGUGAGCUUUGUAUGUUCAGCUGCCAACUUAACUAGGUGGUAAUUUCAAGUGGUUGAAGACUUUAACGCUCUGAUUACACAAUACAGUAGUUUCUGUUUUCAGUUGAGAGUCUUCAAUAUCCGGUAGGAUCUCACUCUUGUUGGAGAAAGUUUGCUACCCCAACAGUUUUUUUUUCUUUCUACUGGCUCUGGACUCCAGUGCACUUGAAUGACACCGGUGCUGAUCUUUUGAAUUAAAGGUUAAAGGUUCCCUUCGUGGGCUGACGAGGCGGCAACUGCUGUGGUGUGAUGAAACACUUUCACGCAACCAAGUGUCAGUCCAGUUUUUCAUCUACAACAAAAUAAAGUUAGACAGUGAGAACAGACUUGGUAAAAGACAUGAAACGAGUUCAUGGCAGCAUCGCUGGCCAUUCCGCUGCUUGAAUGUGGUCCAGUGUUUUCCUCUCUUUUUGGAACUUGAGUGGCCCCAUUCCUCUGACGCGCAAGAUGUGGUCAAAACCUAAAAUAGAUCUAUUCAAAAUAAACCAUUCAUUACUCACAUUAUUGUCUAACAGCGGAAACCCAUAAUUCUCUGCACAUUCUUGUUGAAAAGAUGUUUUACAGCAAAAUUCUUGUCAGGAUUUAAUGAUUUUACGGCAUCUGAUGUGAUUGUUGUGUGUAAAUUUCCAUCUAGCAGAAUGAAAAUGUCCACAACUACUGUAAAGUAAUAGAACUCUCAAAGUUUUGACUUUAUAUAAAUAAUAAUUUGAACCAACUUUAUUGGCAUUGGCAGUUUGCAUAUAAGGUGAGUUUGUACAUAUGUUAUGGCUUAAUGGUGAGCUCAGAUUUAGUAUUAGAUAAUGAAGCGAUCCAAGAACAACUAGUAAAACAUUUUUUUUGCAUAGCAA